GUCAAGUAUUUAAUUAAUUAUUUUUUGAGACAGGGCCUUGAUCUGUCACGCAGGCUGGAGUGCAGUGGCGCAAUCAUGGCUCAUUGCAGUCUUGAACUUCUGGGCUGAAGCGAUCCUUUCACCUCAGCCUCCCGGGUAACUGGGACUAUAGGCACGUACCACUCUACCUGGCUAAUUUUUUGAUUUUUGGUAGAGACGGGGUCUCCCUAAGUUGCCCAGGCUUGUCUUGAACUCCUGGGCUCAAGCGAUCCUCCUGCCUCAGCCUCCCAAAGUGCUGGGAUUACAGGUGUGAGCUACUGCGCCUGAUCUGUUAAUUUAUUUUUUGAGACAGGGCCUUGAUCUGUCACCCAGGCUGGAGUGCGGUGGCACGAUCACGGCUCAUUGCAGUCUUGAACUUCUGGGCUGAAGCGAUCCUUUCACCUCUGCCUCCCGGGUAGCUGGGACUACAGGCACGCACCACUAUACCUGGCUAAUUUUUUUAUUUUUGGUAGAGACGGGGGUCUCCCUAAGUUGCCCAGGCUGGUCUUGAACUCCUGGGCUCAAGCGAUCCUCCCACCUUGGCCUCCC
This 567-nucleotide long non-coding RNA is filed under the name Homo sapiens (human). RNAcentral's name for it is "non-protein coding lnc-PSMD7-2:1". Lineage: Eukaryota; Metazoa; Chordata; Mammalia; Primates; Hominidae. The record is from RNAcentral.